RNAcentral lists this ribosomal RNA (460 nucleotides) under Centipeda dianae. RNAcentral describes it as "bacterial SSU rRNA". It matches the Rfam family "Bacterial small subunit ribosomal RNA", at positions 28 to 466 of the family's 1533-position model. Lineage: Bacteria; Bacillati; Bacillota; Negativicutes; Selenomonadales; Selenomonadaceae. The record is from RNAcentral.
GACGAACGCUGGCGGCGUGCUUAACACAUGCAAGUCGAACGGAGCGAAUGAAAGCUUGCUUUUAUGAGCUUAGUGGCAAACGGGUGAGUAACACGUAGACAACCUGCCGACAGGAUAGGGACAACAUUCCGAAAGGAAUGCUAAUACCGAAUGAAGCGGAGGAGAGGCAUCUCUCUUCCGUGAAAGAUGGCCUCUUUUUAUGCUAUCACCUGUUGAUGGGUCUGCGUCUGAUUAGCUGGUUGGUGAGGUAACGGCUCACCAAGGCGACGAUCAGUAGCCGGUCUGAGAGGAUGAACGGCCACAUUGGGACUGAGACACGGCCCAGACUCCUACGGGAGGCAGCAGUGGGGAAUCUUCCGCAAUGGGCGCAAGCCUGACGGAGCAACGCCGCGUGAGUGAAGAAGGUCUUCGGAUCGUAAAGCUCUGUUGACGGGGACGAACGUGCGGAGUGCGAAUAGCG